AUCCUUGUAGCGCAAUGGAUAGCGCAUUGGACUUCUAAUAUAACGGUUGUGGGUUCGAAUCCCACCUGGGAUG
Molecule: non-coding RNA, 73 nt
Organism: Trichonephila inaurata madagascariensis
Lineage: Eukaryota; Metazoa; Arthropoda; Arachnida; Araneae; Nephilidae
Source: the annotation of a GenBank genome assembly